RNAcentral lists this long non-coding RNA (334 nucleotides) under Nicotiana benthamiana. RNAcentral's name for it is "long non-coding RNA (NBEN_LNC006158)". Lineage: Eukaryota; Viridiplantae; Streptophyta; Magnoliopsida; Solanales; Solanaceae. The record is from RNAcentral.
GAGUGCUUACUUCUAUACGCGAUCCAAUAUUCAGCCUUCUGAUGAUGUUGCCAUGGUCCGUAGAACUGAAGAAAUCUUUAAUAAUCAGGAGAACUUUGUCUCGACAGGAAAUGAUAAUGAGAAGUAUAGACCCACAGAUGAGGUUGGGGCUUUUUUUGAUGGCUUAUGCAAGUAUGCUCGAUAUAGCAAGUUCAGAGUAAGGAACAGAUCAUGUUGGGGCUUUUUUUGAUGGCUUAUGCAAGUAUGCUCGGUAUAGCAAGUUCAGAGUAAGGGGAAUAUUAAGAAAUGCAGAUCUGAAUAAUUCUGCAAAUGUCAUUUGUUCUCUAAGCUUUGA